AAGUUUAUUCAAAGUUAAUUUAAUUUAUAAUCUAGUUGAGAAAAAGAAAGGGGUAAAUCUGGGUUUGGGGAAAACUUUUUGAAGAGAAAGGUUUAUCUGAGAGAAAAAUUUGAGAGUUUAGUGGGGUAGAUGUCUAAGUGUUGAUUUUGCAGGAUCUAAUCAUCUCUUCUACCUCCUCGCUUUUUGUACCGCCCUCUCUCCGGCCGCGCAGCACAGAGUCUUCUUUUUUAGCAAAAAACUCAGGCUGGAUAAGAUGCUGGAGAAUAUUUUUUAGUGUGGUUGCAGAUGCAUUUUUUACAAGGGAAAAAACCUGAGAUAAAUCAGGAAGGGUUAGGAUAAGGAUUUAUUAGUGCUUUUGUAAUCACAUGCAUGUUGUAAACACCCACCACCCAAUUUCGUCGGGAUCAACUAAAUAAAAGAUUUUUUUUAUUUUA
Long non-coding RNA from Vigna radiata var. radiata (mung bean), 434 nucleotides. RefSeq lists it as uncharacterized. The record is from RefSeq and is a predicted model, not a curated record. The transcript has 2 exons. Lineage: Eukaryota; Viridiplantae; Streptophyta; Magnoliopsida; Fabales; Fabaceae.